CUUAUCAAGAGAAGUGGAGGGACUGGCCCUAGGAAGCUUCGGCAACAUGGUAAUGCGUGUGCCAAUUCCAGUAGCAGCAAACAUACUGCUAGAAGAUAAG
RNAcentral lists this non-coding RNA (100 nucleotides) under Staphylococcus arlettae. Its description in RNAcentral is "SAM riboswitch (S box leader)". It matches the Rfam family "SAM riboswitch aptamer (S box leader)". From Rfam's summary of the family: The SAM riboswitch is found upstream of a number of genes which code for proteins involved in methionine or cysteine biosynthesis in Gram-positive bacteria. Lineage: Bacteria; Bacillati; Bacillota; Bacilli; Caryophanales; Staphylococcaceae. The record is from RNAcentral.